This is a long non-coding RNA of Manis pentadactyla (Chinese pangolin), 635 nucleotides long. RefSeq lists it as uncharacterized. The transcript is spliced from 2 exons. The record is from RefSeq and is a predicted model, not a curated record. NCBI's taxonomy places the organism in Eukaryota, Metazoa, Chordata, Mammalia, Pholidota, Manidae.
UCAUUUCAUCAAAUCCCACUGUUUGCUAAAGCACAAAUACAGGUGCAUUUAAAUGUAUGUCUGUUUAAAUGUCUCAGGCCACACAAGCAAUAAAACAUGGGCAAAUUGUCACAGUGAUGACACACAUGCUACACCAUACUUGAACCUGCUGUAAGAUUCUUGGUGUCAUAGGUGUGGUUGCCUUUUCAUCUUUUCCAUUUUUAUUUCAUAUUUAUCUAGGGCUUCAUUCAUUGAGUAGUCCUGAAAAGGAAAACUACCCUUAGCAACCAGAAGUGUCGCCAGUCUGAGGUACCCACCCUCUGAUUUUUCGGACCCAGGUCUGAUGGCAGUGCCCAAGACGCUCAGGCCCAAGCACCCAGCCUCUUCCUAGGGCUGCUUCUUGCCAGGGGCUCACUGUCUUCCUGGCUCUGGCAGGAGGUUUUGUGCCCCAUGACUGUCCUGUGUAACAAGUUACAUGUGAUAUGUGGUGUCAGCACAACUCCUGCCCCCAUCAGGUCUGGACGCCUUGGCCUCACUGCAGACACGUAGACAUAGUGAGGGUCACGUUAUCUUUCCGGGUCUCUCUCUGGCACAUCUGGCUGUGGAAAACUCUUGUAUAUCUAAAUCCCUAUGAAAUAAAGCUACUUCAAAAGUCA